UACGACCGUCCCAAUCUCCAAAUUGACUUGUCAAAACUACAAAGAAUGAAAAGGAGGGAGUAAGCAUAUAUGCUUAGUAAGUCCACAUGCAAAUAACAAAUAACUUAACAAAGUAAUUAUACCAACAAACAUUAGCAUAAUAUCACCAAAACAUAUAUCACAUUCAUAUUCAUCAUUCAUCAUCUUACCAUAUUAUUGUAGUCGUAUCAAGUCUCAACCGGAGGGUUAAGUACAUACCUGUC
This 242-nucleotide long non-coding RNA is filed under the name Gossypium barbadense (sea-island cotton). RNAcentral describes it as "long non-coding RNA (GBAR_LNC007064)". Lineage: Eukaryota; Viridiplantae; Streptophyta; Magnoliopsida; Malvales; Malvaceae. The record is from RNAcentral.